This 2756-nucleotide ribosomal RNA is filed under the name Staphylococcus aureus. Lineage: Bacteria; Bacillati; Bacillota; Bacilli; Caryophanales; Staphylococcaceae. The record is from RNAcentral.
ACACCUGUUCCCAUGCCGAACACAGAAGUUAAGCUCCUUAGCGUCGAUGGUAGUCGAACUUACGUUCCGCUAGAGUAGAACGUUGCCAGGCAGUUUUAAAUCGGAGAAUUAGCUCAGCUGGGAGAGCAUCUGCCUUACAAGCAGAGGGUCGGCGGUUCGAACCCGUCAUUCUCCACCAUUUAUUCUUACAUAUUGCCGGCCUAGCUCAAUUGGUAGAGCAACUGACUUGUAAUCAGUAGGUUGGGGGUUCAAGUCCUCUGGCCGGCACCAUGGAAGAGCCAUUAGCUCAGUUGGUAGAGCAUCUGACUUUUAAUCAGAGGGUCAGAGGUUCGAAUCCUCUAUGGCUCACCAUUUGCGGGUGUGGCGGAAUUGGCAGACGCACUAGACUUAGGAUCUAGCGCCUUACGGCGUGGGGGUUCGACUCCCUUCACCCGCAUAUGCAGAAGUAGUUCAGCGGUAGAAUACAACCUUGCCAAGGUUGGGGUCGCGGGUUCGAAUCCCGUCUUCUGCUCCAUUUUUAUAGUGCCGGGGUGGCGGAACUGGCAGACGCACAGGACUUAAAAUCCUGCGGUGAGUGAUCACCGUACCGGUUCGAUUCCGGUCCUCGGCACCAUUUUCAAUAAAAACAUAUGCGCCCGUAGCUCAAUUGGAUAGAGCGUUUGACUACGGAUCAAGAGGUUAUGGGUUCGACUCCUAUCGGGCGCGUUAAUUAUACGGGAAGUAGCUCAGCUUGGUAGAGCACUUGGUUUGGGACCAAGGGGUCGCAGGUUCGAAUCCUGUCUUCCCGAUAUACUGUAAUUAUUAUGGGGGCUUAGCUCAGCUGGGAGAGCGCCUGCUUUGCACCGUGUUCGAAAGGGAAACAGCCCAGACCACCAGCUAAGGUCCCAAAAUAUAUGUUAAGUGGAAAAGGAUGUGGCGUUGCCCAGACAACUAGGAUGUUGGCUUAGAAGCAGCCAUCAUUUAAAGAGUGCGUAAUAGCUCACUAGUCGAGUGACACUGCGCCGAAAAUGUACCGGGGCUAAACAUAUUACCGAAGCUGUGGAUUGUCCUUUGGACAAUGGUAGGAGAGCGUUCUAAGGGCGUUGAAGCAUGAUCGUAAGGACAUGUGGAGCGCUUAGAAGUGAGAAUGCCGGUGUGAGUAGCGAAAGACGGGUGAGAAUCCCGUCCACCGAUUGACUAAGGUUUCCAGAGGAAGGCUCGUCCGCUCUGGGUUAGUCGGGUCCUAAGCUGAGGCCGACAGGCGUAGGCGAUGGAUAACAGGUUGAUAUUCCUGUACCACCUAUAAUCGUUUUAAUCGAUGGGGGGACGCAGUAGGAUAGGCGAAGCGUGCGAUUGGAUUGCACGUCUAAGCAGUAAGGCUGAGUAUUAGGCAAAUCCGGUACUCGUUAAGGCUGAGCUGUGAUGGGGAGAAGACAUUGUGUCUUCGAGUCGUUGAUUUCACACUGCCGAGAAAAGCCUCUAGAUAGAAAAUAGGUGCCCGUACCGCAAACCGACACAGGUAGUCAAGAUGAGAAUUCUAAGGUGAGCGAGCGAACUCUCGUUAAGGAACUCGGCAAAAUGACCCCGUAACUUCGGGAGAAGGGGUGCUCUUUAGGGUUAACGCCCAGAAGAGCCGCAGUGAAUAGGCCCAAGCGACUGUUUAUCAAAAACACAGGUCUCUGCUAAACCGUAAGGUGAUGUAUAGGGGCUGACGCCUGCCCGGUGCUGGAAGGUUAAGAGGAGUGGUUAGCUUCUGCGAAGCUACGAAUCGAAGCCCCAGUAAACGGCGGCCGUAACUAUAACGGUCCUAAGGUAGCGAAAUUCCUUGUCGGGUAAGUUCCGACCCGCACGAAAGGCGUAACGAUUUGGGCACUGUCUCAACGAGAGACUCGGUGAAAUCAUAGUACCUGUGAAGAUGCAGGUUACCCGCGACAGGACGGAAAGACCCCGUGGAGCUUUACUGUAGCCUGAUAUUGAAAUUCGGCACAGCUUGUACAGGAUAGGUAGGAGCCUUUGAAACGUGAGCGCUAGCUUACGUGGAGGCGCUGGUGGGAUACUACCCUAGCUGUGUUGGCUUUCUAACCCGCACCACUUAUCGUGGUGGGAGACAGUGUCAGGCGGGCAGUUUGACUGGGGCGGUCGCCUCCUAAAAGGUAACGGAGGCGCUCAAAGGUUCCCUCAGAAUGGUUGGAAAUCAUUCAUAGAGUGUAAAGGCAUAAGGGAGCUUGACUGCGAGACCUACAAGUCGAGCAGGGUCGAAAGACGGACUUAGUGAUCCGGUGGUUCCGCAUGGAAGGGCCAUCGCUCAACGGAUAAAAGCUACCCCGGGGAUAACAGGCUUAUCUCCCCCAAGAGUUCACAUCGACGGGGAGGUUUGGCACCUCGAUGUCGGCUCAUCGCAUCCUGGGGCUGUAGUCGGUCCCAAGGGUUGGGCUGUUCGCCCAUUAAAGCGGUACGCGAGCUGGGUUCAGAACGUCGUGAGACAGUUCGGUCCCUAUCCGUCGUGGGCGUAGGAAAUUUGAGAGGAGCUGUCCUUAGUACGAGAGGACCGGGAUGGACAUACCUCUGGUGUACCAGUUGUCGUGCCAACGGCAUAGCUGGGUAGCUAUGUGUGGACGGGAUAAGUGCUGAAAGCAUCUAAGCAUGAAGCCCCCCUCAAGAUGAGAUUUCCCAACUUCGGUUAUAAGAUCCCUCAAAGAUGAUGAGGUUAAUAGGUUCGAGGUGGAAGCAUGGUGACAUGUGGAGCUGACGAAUACUAAUCGAUCGAAGACUUAAUC